GAUGAACGCUGGCGGCGUGCCUAAUACAUGCAAGUCGAGCGAACAGACGAGGAGCUUGCUCCUCUGACGUUAGCGGCGGACGGGUGAGUAACACGUGGAUAACAUACCUAUAAUACUGGGAUAACUUCGGGGAACCGGAGAUAAUAACGGAUAAUAUAUUGAACGGCAUGGUUCAAUAGUGAAAGACGGCUUUGGCGUCUGUUUUAGAUGAUUCCGCGCCGGAUUAGCUAGUUGGUAAGGUAACGGCUUACCAAGGCAACGAUGCGUAGCCGACCUGAGAGGGUGAUCAGCCACACUGGAACUGAGACACGGUCCAGACUCCUACGGGAGGCAGCAGUAGGGAAUCUUCCGCAAUGGGCGAAAGCCUGACGGAGCAACGCCGCGUGAGUGAUGAAGGUCUUCGGAUCGUAAAACCCUGUUAUUAGGGAAGAACAAAUGUGUAAGUAACUAUGCACGUCUUGACGGUACCUAAUCAGAAAGCCACGGCUAACUACGUG
RNAcentral lists this ribosomal RNA (497 nucleotides) under uncultured bacterium. RNAcentral describes it as "partial 16S ribosomal RNA". It matches the Rfam family "Bacterial small subunit ribosomal RNA", at positions 28 to 507 of the family's 1533-position model. The record is from RNAcentral.